Molecule: ribosomal RNA, 480 nt
Filed under: uncultured bacterium
Lineage: Bacteria
Description: partial 16S ribosomal RNA
Rfam family: Bacterial small subunit ribosomal RNA
Source: RNAcentral
AUGCACGCUGGCGGCGUGCUUAACACAUGCAAGUCGCACGAAGCACUUUAUUUGAUUUCCUUCGGGACUGAUUAUUUUGUGACUGAGUGGCGGACGGGUGAGUAACGCGUGGGUAACCUGCCUUGUACAGGGGGAUAACAGUUGGAAACGGCUGCUAAUACCGCAUAAGCGCACAGCAUCGCAUGAUGCAGUGUGAAAAACUCCGGUGGUAUAAGAUGGACCCGCGUUGGAUUAGCUAGUUGGUGAGGUAACGGCCCACCAAGGCGACGAUCCAUAGCCGACCUGAGAGGGUGACCGGCCACAUUGGGACUGAGACACGGCCCAAACUCCUACGGGAGGCAGCAGUGGGGAAUAUUGCACAAUGGGCGAAAGCCUGAUGCAGCGACGCCGCGUGAGCGAAGAAGUAUUUCGGUAUGUAAAGCUCUAUCAGCAGGGAAGAUAAUGACGGUACCUGACGAAGAAGCACCGGCUAAAUACGUG